This 371-nucleotide ribosomal RNA is filed under the name uncultured cyanobacterium. Its description in RNAcentral is "bacterial SSU rRNA". It matches the Rfam family "Bacterial small subunit ribosomal RNA", at positions 354 to 740 of the family's 1533-position model. Lineage: Bacteria; Bacillati; Cyanobacteriota. The record is from RNAcentral.
UUGGGGAAUUUUCCGCAAUGGGCGCAAGCCUGACGGAGCAUGACCGCGUGCGGGAGUUCGGCCUAUUGGUUGUAAGCCGCUUUUGAUAGGGAAGAAGUUGUGACGGUACCUAUCGAAUCAGCAUCGGCUAACUCCGUGCCAGCAGCCGCGGUAAUACGGAGGAUGCAAGCGUUAUCCGGAAUUAUUGGGCGUAAAGCGUCCGUAGGUGGUUGUUCAAGUCUGCUGUUAAAGCGUGCGGCUUAACCGCAUACCAGCAGUGGAAACUGGGCGACUAGAGUGCGGUAGGGGUCAGGGGAAUUCCCAGUGUAGCGGUGAAAUGCGUAGAUAUUGGGAAGAACACCGGUGGCGAAAGCGCCUGACUGGACCUGCAC